CGGCCCCGAGGAUUUCACAGCGAGUCCAGGCUCCGAACCCGGCAGCUGACAGCUGGGCUUGUUGAUACAAGCACGGUCACUUACACUGGACCUGCAGUGUGGCGGCAGGGAAGACCAGUCAGUGUUCAUGCACAACAGUGUUUUGUAGGAAGGAACUGCAGAUGUUGGUUUAAACUGAAGAUAGACACAAAAUGCUGGAGUAACUCAGCGGGACAGGCAGCAUCUCUGGAGAGAAGGAAUAGGUGACGUUUCGGGUCGAGACACUUCUUCAGACUGAUGUCAGUAGAACACAGAUGAUUCAGGCCCUACACGACACAUUGAAAACAGCCAAGCAGAUAGCAGCCAAUGUUCCUAUUGUGCGGCAACAAACUCUUCUCCACGUUCAGUUGUUUGUGAAGCAGGCUUAAAGUGUGGGAGGAAACCAAAGAUCUCGGAGAAAACCCACGCAGUCACGGGGAGAACCUGCAAACUCCACACAGACAGCAACCAUAGUCGGGUUCGAACUUGGCUCGCAGGCGCUGUAAGGCUGCAACUCUAUCGCUGUGCCACCGUGCCACCGUGCCACCCCACGUUUCCAUGGUAACUAAUUCCUGCAUUGAAAUAUCCAAUAAAAUUCAUAAAGUCCUCAAAGAAAAUGUAGUAGUGUUUCAGGUUAUGAAAAGCACUGUAACAUAAUAUUCUUAAUAAAACUAAUAAUAAUUUAAAGAAUUGUACUGGCAGGGAUGUUGGUGAAUUCUCAGUUGCUAUUAUAAUAUGUUCAUUUGCUGGAUAUACAUCUGAAUUGCUUGGAGAAUAGAAAUGUGAACUGAAAUGCAUGGCAAAUAAUUCAAAAAUAAAGCAUAAUCUGAUAAUUUAGCUGCCUGCAUCAUUAAAUGUUCCCCAUGGAUAAUUCAAGAGGUAGCCUGGAAUUAAUAUUUUCUUCCAUUCUUUCUGCAGAGAGUCUAAUAUCAAGGCUGAAAAACUGUGCAUAAUUAUUGCACUGGUCCAAUCUCUUUAAUGGUAGACGCAGUGUUUUGAAGCAUUCCCAAUAAGGCUGAGUGCGGCAAGCAGACCCUGUGGUAUAAUGCAACAACAUAUUAAAUGUCUGGGGCACGGUCAUAACAUUUCAAGAGUGGAUGCUGAGUCUGGGGAAAAGGUUGGAGAUGAAAGUACAUAAUCUUAUAUUUUCAUGGCAUCACAAAUUGCUCCCGGUAGAUGAUGUGCAGAGUUGUACUGAGUAAACAAGACGUCUGCUUUCUGUGAUUAAAACCAAGACCACGAGUUAUAUUCUGCUCUGAUAAAAACGGGGGAAUUGGUGAAUGGUAAGUGUAAAGUUCUGAGGGGAUUUUCUUGAUUCCAGGUCCAACAAUGUGGAUUAGAUCAUAAGAUCAUAGUCGAAUUAGGCCUUUCGGCCCAUCAAGUCUACUCCGCCAUUCAAUCGUGGCUGAUCUACCUUAACCCUCCUAAUCCCAAUUCUCCGCAUAACCUCUCCACUCCCGUACUAAUCAAGAAUCUAUCUAUCUCUGCCUUAAAUAUAUCCACUGACUUUGCCUCCACAGCCUUCUGUGGCAAAGAAUUCCACAGAUUCACCACCUUCUGACUAAAGAAUGACAAGAUUCAAAAUGACCACAACCGUUCAAGCAUCCACCCCUGAACAUACAUCCCUUCCUCCACUUGACAGUGGGACAGCAAGAUUGUCUGCACUAAUUCACAAAGAUAUGCUUGACAGCAUCUCCCCCCAAUGCACCCUGACGCCCUGAUCAUUUAUCAUUUAGGCCAGUUGACAUUUGAGUUUAGAAUUUAGAGAGACAACAUGGAAACAAACCCAUUCAAUCCAUAUCAACUAUCGGGCACGUGUUCACAUUUGUUCUAUGUUAUCCCACUUUAUCAUUCACUCUGCACACACUGGGGGCAAUUUUACUGAGGUCAAUCAAACUACAAACCCACCCAUCUUUAUGAAUGUGAGAAAGCCCAAUGUGGCCACAAAGAACAAACUC
Leucoraja erinaceus (little skate) is the source of this 1976-nucleotide long non-coding RNA. RefSeq lists it as uncharacterized. The transcript is spliced from 4 exons. Lineage: Eukaryota; Metazoa; Chordata; Chondrichthyes; Rajiformes; Rajidae. The record is from RefSeq and is a predicted model, not a curated record.